AUGAAGCUGUUUAGCUUCUACCAUGUACCCUUCACUAGUGAGAUAAUCAAGGAAACAACUAUAUGUGAACUGGUUAGGUGUCAACCCUUUAGCUAACAUUUCCUUGUAGAAUACCUCUGCUUUAUCUACUAAUCCAGCCUUGCACAAGUUAUUUAUCAUCACAGUAUACGUCACCACAUUUGGGAAGCAUCCUUCACUGACCAUUAUAUCCCAGCAUUUAAAAGCUUUUUUAAGAUCACCAACUUUUCCAUAUGCAUCAAGCAUGCUAGUGUAUAUUACUUCAUCAGGCUUCAUUCCUCGGUCGUGCAUCUCCUUCAUUAUAUUUAAUAAAUAUUUCCAAUCAUGAUGCUUUAGAGUUCCA
Molecule: unclassified non-coding RNA, 361 nt
Filed under: Hevea brasiliensis (rubber tree)
Lineage: Eukaryota; Viridiplantae; Streptophyta; Magnoliopsida; Malpighiales; Euphorbiaceae
Source: RNAcentral